UGGGGAAUCUUGGACAAUGGGGGCAACCCUGAUCCAGCCAUGCCGCGUGAGUGAUGAAGGCCUUAGGGUUGUAAAGCUUUUUCACCGGUGAAGAUAAUGACGGUAGCCGGAGAAGAAGCCCCGGCUAACUCCGUGCCAGCAGCCGCGGUAAUACGGAGGGGGCUAGCGUUGUUCGGAAUUACUGGGCGUAAAGCGCGCGUAGGCGGACUGAUCAGUCAGGGGUGAAAUCCCGGGGCUCAACCCCGGAACUGCCUUUGAUACUGUCAGUCUUGAGUCCGGAAGAGGCGAGUGGAAUACCGAGUGUAGAGGUGAAAUUCGUAGAUAUUAGGUGGAACACCAGUGGCGAAGGCGCCUAACUGGUCCGGUACUGACGCUGAGGAACGAAAAGCGUGGGGAGCAAACAGGAUUAGAUACCCUGGUAGUCCACGCCGUAAAACGAUGAGUGCUAGUCGUCGGCAGGCAUGCCUGUCGGUGACGCAGCUAACGCAUUAAGCACUCCGCCUGGGGAGUACGGCCGCAAGGUUAAAACUCAAAGG
This 536-nucleotide ribosomal RNA is filed under the name uncultured bacterium. Its description in RNAcentral is "bacterial SSU rRNA". It matches the Rfam family "Bacterial small subunit ribosomal RNA", at positions 355 to 907 of the family's 1533-position model. The record is from RNAcentral.